GGCGACCGGGUGCGUAACACGUAGCUGACCUGCCCUCGCGCGGGGGACAACAGACCGAAAGGUCUGCUAAUACCGCAUACAGUCGGGAUAUUUAGAAAAUCUCGACAAAACUUCCGGGGCGCGAGGAGGGGGCUGCGGCCCAUCAGGUAGUUGGGGAGGUAAAAGCUCACCAAGCCAAUGACGGGUAGGGGGCCUGAGAGGGUAACCCCCCACACUGGAACUGACAACGGUCCAGACUCCUACGGGAGGCAGCAGUAAGGGAUAUUGCGCAAUGGGCGAAAGCCUGACGCAGCAACGCCGCGUGGAGGAUGAAGGGCUUCGGCUCGUAAACUUCUUUGGACCCUGACGAGUAAGGACGGUAGGGGUAAAACAAGCCACGGCUAACUACGUGCCAGCCGCCGCGG
RNAcentral lists this ribosomal RNA (404 nucleotides) under uncultured bacterium. Its description in RNAcentral is "bacterial SSU rRNA". It matches the Rfam family "Bacterial small subunit ribosomal RNA", at positions 97 to 520 of the family's 1533-position model. The record is from RNAcentral.